RNAcentral lists this ribosomal RNA (1003 nucleotides) under Enterococcus sp. RNAcentral's name for it is "bacterial SSU rRNA". It matches the Rfam family "Bacterial small subunit ribosomal RNA", at positions 55 to 1057 of the family's 1533-position model. The record is from RNAcentral. Lineage: Bacteria; Bacillati; Bacillota; Bacilli; Lactobacillales; Enterococcaceae.
AUGCAGUCGAACGCUUCUUUUUCCACCGGAGCUUGCUCCACCGGAAAAAGAGGAGUGGAACGGGUGAGUAACACGUGGGUAACCUGCCCAUCAGAAGGGGAUAACACUUGGAAACAGGUGCUAAUACCGUAUAACAAUCGAAACCGCAUGGUUUUGAUUUGAAAGGCGCUUUCGGGUGUCGCUGAUGGAUGGACCCGCGGUGCAUUAGCUAGUUGGUGAGGUAACGGCUCACCAAGGCGACGAUGCAUAGCCGACCUGAGAGGGUGAUCGGCCACAUUGGGACUGAGACACGGCCCAAACUCCUACGGGAGGCAGCAGUAGGGAAUCUUCGGCAAUGGACGAAAGUCUGACCGAGCAACGCCGCGUGAGUGAAGAAGGUUUUCGGAUCGUAAAACUCUGUUGUUAGAGAAGAACAAGGAUGAGAGUAACUGUUCAUCCCUUGACGGUAUCUAACCAGAAAGCCACGGCUAACUACGUGCCAGCAGCCGCGGUAAUACGUAGGUGGCAAGCGUUGUCCGGAUUUAUUGGGCGUAAAGCGAGCGCAGGCGGUUUCUUAAGUCUGAUGUGAAAGCCCCCGGCUCAACCGGGGAGGGUCAUUGGAAACUGGGAGACUUGAGUGCAGAAGAGGAGAGUGGAAUUCCAUGUGUAGCGGUGAAAUGCGUAGAUAUAUGGAGGAACACCAGUGGCGAAGCGGCUCUCUGGUCUGUAACUGACGCUGAGCUCAAAGCGUGGGGAGCAAACAGGAUUAGAUACCCUGGUAGUCCACGCCGUAAACGAUGAGUGCUAAGUGUUGGAGGGUUUCCGCCCUUCAGUGCUGCAGCUAACGCAUUAAGCACUCCGCCUGGGGAGUACGACCGCAAGGUUGAAACUCAAAGGAAUUGAGGGCCCGCACAAGCGGUGCAUGUGUUAAUUCGAAGCAACGCGAAGAAUACCGUCUGACUCCUUUGACCUCUAGAGAAAGCUCCCUCGGGGAAGGCGGGGGCAUUCAGCUCGAUAAUCCCCA